Molecule: ribosomal RNA, 425 nt
Filed under: uncultured bacterium
Lineage: Bacteria
Description: partial 16S ribosomal RNA
Rfam family: Bacterial small subunit ribosomal RNA
Source: RNAcentral
GUGAGGAAUAUUGCAAAUGGGCGAAAGCCUGAUGUAGCAACGCCGCGUGUGCGAUGAAGGUCUUCGGAUUGUAAAGCACUUUUUGGAGGGAUGAGGAAGGACAGUACCUCCAGAAUAAGCCUCGGCUAACUACGUGCCAGCAGCCGCGGUAACACGUAGGAGGCAAGCGUUAUUCGGAUUUACUGGGCGUAAAGCGCGUGCAGGCGGUUUGGAAAGUUGGAUGUGAAAGCUCCUGGCUCAACUGGGAGAGGUCGUUCAAUACUUCCAGACUUGAGAGUGGUAGAGGGAGGUGGAAUUCCGGGUGUAGUGGUGAAAUGCGUAGAUAUCCGGAGGAACACCAGUGGCGAAAGCGGCCUCCUGGACCACUUCUGACGCUCAGACGCGAAAGCUAGGGUAGCAAACGGGAUUAGAUACCCGGGUAGUCC